UACGAAGGGUGCAAACGUUAUUCGGAAUCACUGGGCGUAAAGGGUGCGUAGACGGUUUAUUAAGUUCGUUGUUAAAGGCUCCGGCCCAACCGGAGUAUUGCGAUGAAAACUGGUAAACUAGAGGAUGAGAGAGAGAAGUGGAAUUCCCGGAGUAGCGGUGAAAUGCGCAGAUAUCAGGAGGAACACCGAUGGCGAAGGCAGGUCUCUGGGCCACUACUGACGCUGAGAAGCGAAAGCAUGGGGAGCGAACAGG
This 253-nucleotide ribosomal RNA is filed under the name uncultured bacterium. RNAcentral describes it as "partial 16S ribosomal RNA". It matches the Rfam family "Bacterial small subunit ribosomal RNA", at positions 524 to 776 of the family's 1533-position model. The record is from RNAcentral.